GACGAACGCUGGCGGCGUGCUUAACACAUGCAAGUCGAACGGAAAGGCCCUGCUUUUGUGGGGUGCUCGAGUGGCGAACGGGUGAGUAACACGUGAGUAACCUGCCCUUGACUUUGGGAUAACUUCAGGAAACUGGGGCUAAUACCGGAUAGGAGCUCCUGCUGCAUGGUGGGGGUUGGAAAGUUUCGGCGGUUGGGGAUGGACUCGCGGCUUAUCAGCUUGUUGGUGGGGUAGUGGCUUACCAAGGCUUUGACGGGUGGCCGGCCUGAGAGGGUGAACAGGGACGUGAGGACUGAGAGAGGGAGCAGUCUCGUAUAGUGGGCAACAGUGGCGAGCAUGGCACAGUGAGGGCGAGCGUGAUGAGGAGACGCCCGGUGUGGGAAGCACGUCUUCGGGGUAAGAACCGCUGUCGGUUGAGACGCAGUGUGCAUGACGGUACCCGGAGAAGAAGCACCGGCUAACUACGUG
RNAcentral lists this ribosomal RNA (468 nucleotides) under uncultured bacterium. RNAcentral describes it as "partial 16S ribosomal RNA". It matches the Rfam family "Bacterial small subunit ribosomal RNA", at positions 28 to 507 of the family's 1533-position model. The record is from RNAcentral.